Molecule: ribosomal RNA, 363 nt
Filed under: uncultured Acidiphilium sp.
Lineage: Bacteria; Pseudomonadati; Pseudomonadota; Alphaproteobacteria; Acetobacterales; Acidocellaceae
Description: bacterial SSU rRNA
Rfam family: Bacterial small subunit ribosomal RNA
Source: RNAcentral
AGCCGCGGUAAUACGAAGGGGGCUAGCGUUGCUCGGAAUGACUGGGCGUAAAGGGCGCGUAGGCGGAUUGCACAGUUAGGCGUGAAAUUCCGGGCUUAACCUGGGGAGUGCGUNUGAGACGUGUAAUCUUGAGUGUGAAAGAGGGUCGUGGAAUUUCCAGUGUAGAGGUGAAAUUUGUAGAUAUUGGAAAGAACACCGGUGGCGAAGGCGGCGACCUGGUUCAUUACUGACGUUGAGGCGCGAAAGCGUGGGGAGCAAACAGGAUUAGAUACCCUGGUAGUCCACGCUGUAAACGAUGUGUGCUGAUGUUGGGGUGCUUAGCACUUCAGUGUCGCAGCUAACGCAGUAAGCACNCCGCCNNGA